CAGGAAAUAUUGUCUCACUUUUUGAUGCACACCAACAUCCCUGUCCAGUGCAGAAGCCUCGUGGGAACUUGCUGUGGGCAAGAAAGAGAAGCAAUGCACAAGAUCCAUGGCUCUGAGGAAAACUGGAGGGCAAAGUGGUGAGAGGAACAGAAAGAAGAAAAUAUUCUACCUUAGUACCUCUAUAAUUCAAUUAUAGAGGAAUUUGAAAUAGUAGCAUAAACCCACCUUUCAUUAAAAAGUUCUUUUCAAAACAAAAGUCAACCUGCAGUACUUUAAAAACACAAGGGGGAAAAGAAGCCUAAAGCCAUUUUUUAUUCAGGAAAUGUUUAUUCUACAGAAACUCUUUCACAUGGAAUUUCCAUUCCUCUUUCAAGAUUUGUAUUUUUG
This 387-nucleotide long non-coding RNA is filed under the name Junco hyemalis (dark-eyed junco). RNAcentral describes it as "lncRNA (ENSJHYG00000012458.1)". Lineage: Eukaryota; Metazoa; Chordata; Aves; Passeriformes; Passerellidae. The record is from RNAcentral.